Molecule: transfer RNA, 69 nt
Filed under: Apaloderma vittatum (bar-tailed trogon)
Lineage: Eukaryota; Metazoa; Chordata; Aves; Trogoniformes; Trogonidae
Description: tRNA-Arg
Source: RNAcentral
AGGAAGCUAGUCUAACCAAGACAGCUGAUUUCGACUCAGCAAAUCAUAGCCCAUGCCUAUGGCUUUCUC